GCUUUUGUGGUGUAACGGUAGCACACUCGUCGCGUAUGCGAAAGGUCUAGGUUCGAGCCCAGCGACGGCA
RNAcentral lists this transfer RNA (70 nucleotides) under Stegodyphus mimosarum. It matches the Rfam family "tRNA". Rfam says of the family: Transfer RNA (tRNA) molecules are approximately 80 nucleotides in length. Lineage: Eukaryota; Metazoa; Arthropoda; Arachnida; Araneae; Eresidae. The record is from Rfam by way of RNAcentral.